ACCAUCCCCUCCACCUCCGGCGCGCCCCCAUCUCCUCCUGCCCAGUCGCUGUCUCACCACGCUGGCUAGGACUCCUUGCGGAAAUAUGUCGGGACGGAGUGAGCGGCAUGACGCACUGGUUCAGGGACUCGGCCGACCUCGUCGCGUUCCGGGAAGGGCGGCGGCAGAGCUUCGAGUACGGCUGGUACGGCAACCCCACGGUGAAUGUGCUGGAGGAGAAGAUCAGCGCUCUCGAGAGGACGAAGGCGUUGGAAUCCAUUCUUGAUCAGGGCAACGCAAGUGACGAUGUUCUACGCCGACUCGCUGACGAAGCCUCACCUGAAGGUCGUCGACGUGCGGCGGGUCGCCGAGCUGUGUCACCAGUGUGGCGAGCUGGUGUGCAUCGACAGCACGCUGGCGUCGCCCAUCAACCAGAAGCCGCUCACCCUCGGUGCCGACGUCGUCCUCCACUCCGCCACCAAGUACAUCGCCAGCCACCAGGACGUCAUCGUCGGCUGCGUUAGCGGCUCGGAGGUGCUCAUCUCAAGGAUACGCGUGUGGUACCACGACCUUGGUGCGCCAUCAAUCCGAACCGCCACAUCCAUAUGAAGAGUUGCGCCUCAGAUGCAUGGCAAACAGUGCAAGCAUCCAGCAACUUGGUCUUCCUGCUUACACCCCUAAUGGACAAAGAACAGCUACCAAUUCUAAAAACAAGAAGACAAAUGAGAGAAAUAGAGAAGAUGCUAAUUAUGAUCCUUUGCAUGAUGAUGCCGGUGAACAAGAUUUGUUUCAUGAUGACAUUGCUAAGCUCCUGUUGGUGUUCAAUUUUUGUUGCCUUUGCUUCUGGAAUCAAACAACAAGUUGUUUCAGGUGCUUCAUUUUUUUGGUGCUGCAUGUCCUGCUGGUGUGGAGGGAACCAGAACCUGGACCUUAGAUUUUUUUGGUGCUGCAAGUGUUAUAUCCUAAACAUAACAGGAUUAUAAGCCACAUGGUCAAAAAAUGCACAAUAUAGUUAUAUCCUAGACCCUACGAACCAGUAGAGUAAAUUACUAAUAUUAUAGUCCAAUCAAAAGGUAAUAGCAUUUUUGAAUUGGCUAAUAUAUAUGUUUGAUUAAUCUAAAUAUACGUACCCAUAGUGUCUAUAUAUAAGAUAAGAUAAGUAAUAGAUCUGAUAUUUACAACACUUUUCAUGGACACUAAUUUUGGAACAACUCACAGUGAAUGAAACUUCAUAUCCAUGGGCGGAACUGCCCAUUGGGCAGCAUGGGACGACUGGCCCAGCUAUGGUCCGCGUUGCCCCAGGCCCCUACAUGCUAAGUCUGCUUCCCAACUAAGGGAGGCAACAAGCAGAAAACAAGCAGCCCACCAGGGAACAAGAAGACGGUAAAAUUAUUGGGUAGGCUGUAGGAGGGCGGCACUAUGGAAGGAUGCAACAAUUGACGAGCAACACAAAUUAACCAGCAAUAAAGAGCCUUCUCGGCUAUGAAUAUACUCAAGACUAGUUUGCAUAACUGGAUGCCUGAUGAAUGACUCAACGACUUGAUAUUAUGAUAUAUUGAGAAGGACAUUUUUAGAUGUCUUGAUUUUGAAAAGGUAAAAACAUGUUUCAAGCCACAGGUGAUCGGAGAAUAGAUUUAUACAAGACUUCUAGAGACCGUAAAAAUGUUAAGUGAUUUAUUUGUAGUAUGUCUUCUCAUGUAUUAACCAAUUUUUAAAAGAUAUUUGACUAGUUAGCUAUCGAACUGAUUUUCCUUUUGUAACUUGAUAGUUCUUCUGCUAUCUUUUAGCGCAAAGUGAAAUAUAUAUAAAUAUAUAUUAGU
This is an RNA transcript of Oryza brachyantha (malo sina), 1799 nucleotides long. It is a transcript of the gene named cystathionine gamma-synthase 1, chloroplastic-like, with no coding region annotated. NCBI's taxonomy places the organism in Eukaryota, Viridiplantae, Streptophyta, Magnoliopsida, Poales, Poaceae. The transcript has 4 exons. The record is from RefSeq and is a predicted model, not a curated record.